Molecule: ribosomal RNA, 483 nt
Filed under: uncultured bacterium
Lineage: Bacteria
Description: partial 16S ribosomal RNA
Rfam family: Bacterial small subunit ribosomal RNA
Source: RNAcentral
GACGAACGCUGGCGGCGUGCUUAACACAUGCAAGUCGAACGCUGAAGCUCAGCUUUUGUUGGGUGGAUGAGUGGCGAACGGGUGAGUAACACGUGAGUAACCUGCCUCCUUCUUUGGGAUAACGCCCGGAAACGGGUGCUAAUACUGGAUAUUCACUGGUCUUCGCAUGGGGGUUGGUGGAAAGGGUUUUUCUGGUGGGGGAUGGGCUCGCGGCCUAUCAGCUUGUUGGUGGGGUGAUGGCCUACCAAGGCUUUGACGGGUAGCCGGCCUGAGAGGGUGACCGGUCACAUUGGGACUGAGAUACGGCCCAGACUCCUACGGGAGGCAGCAGUGGGGAAUAUUGCACGAUGGGCGCAAGCCUGAUGCAGCGACGCCGCGUGAGGGAUGGAGGCCUUCGGGUUGUGAACCUCUUUCGCUCAUGGUCAAGCCGCAACAAUGGUUGUGGUGAGGGUAGUGGGUAAAGAAGCGCCGGCUAACUACGUG